This 491-nucleotide ribosomal RNA is filed under the name uncultured bacterium. Its description in RNAcentral is "partial 16S ribosomal RNA". It matches the Rfam family "Bacterial small subunit ribosomal RNA", at positions 30 to 506 of the family's 1533-position model. The record is from RNAcentral.
AGUGAACGCUGGCGGUAGGCCUAACACAUGCAAGUCGAACGGCAGCACAGUAAGAGCUUGCUCUUACGGGUGGCGAGUGGCGGACGGGUGAGGAAUACAUCGGAAUCUACUUUUUCGUGGGGGAUAACGUAGGGAAACUUACGCUAAUACCGCAUACGACCUACGGGUGAAAGCAGGGGAUCUUCGGACCUUGCGCGAUUGAAUGAGCCGAUGUCGGAUUAGCUAGUUGGCGGGGUAAAGGCCCACCAAGGCGACGAUCCGUAGCUGGUCUGAGAGGAUGAUCAGCCACAGGGGAAAUAGGACACGGCGCAGACUCGGAAGGGAGGCAGGAGUGGGGAAUAUGGGAGAAGGGGCGGAAGCGUGAACUAGCCAUAGCGCGAGGGUGAAGAAGGCCAUCGGGUUGUAAAGCCCUUUUGUUGGGAAAGAAAAGCAGCAGGUUAAGACCCAGCUGUUCGAACGGUACCCAAAGAAUAAGCACGGGUAAACUCGGG